GCAUAGGCUCUGAUUGCUACUGUAUCUGGAGCCCCAAAUGGUUUGAAGGCAACCUGCCUCAUAUUGCUGACUUUAAGUCAUCUGUACAAAUUCCCUUCAGGCUCAAGUUAGGCAGUGAUGCAGAGUUCAUGCUGGUGUAAUGUUGUGUGUGUAACAUCUAUCACUUGAUACCUAUCAAACAAAACACGUUGGUUUUUGCUCUACAGCUCAAUACUUCGCAGUGAGGUGGAUCUGUGUAAGAAAGUUUGGGGAACACCAUUGGGAAUUAAUGAUCUGUUACAGGCAGGGGAAUUGGGAAUGAAGGAGUUACUGAUGAUCUAACGUCUCUGCUUCAAUAAAGUACACAAUACCCUCCUUCAUUUUAGAUUGAACAAAGACCUCAGAAGCAUCUCCUGCAGUCACUGGGGGGUGUACCUGUUGUUCAUAAUAUCUCACAUGGUUUUGUUGCUGAUGUUUUUCUAAAAGAAACAAAAUUAUACAGAUGCUUCAAGGAAGUGGCAUUGCUAUAGGAGAAAGUUAUUUUAAGAUCAUGCAAAUCAUCUGGCUGAGCUUUACAAAAGGGAACUCUGUUUUUGGAUAUGCAAUCAGCCAGAGUUGUAAAGACUGUCUUGGCCAAGUUUCAUGCUCUAUGAAUGUUUUCCCAAACUCUGUGAUUUGUGUUCUUCCUAUCAAAAAUUAUAUUCUUCCUUUUAUGCUCAAGAGUGAGACCAGCUGAAUAGCAAUGGACCAUACAACAACCUAGCUGCCAACCCUCUCCUGAGCGGGCAUAGGCAGGAUGUUCUAUCUGAAUCUCAGGAUCCUUGCAUACUCUUCCCAUCCUGAUAGGCCUUCCUCACUCCUGUGGGGGGAAAACUAGACCUCCUCCUUACUCUAAUCCAUUCUUCCAUAUCAUUCAACAAGACCUGGACAGACCAGAGAGUUGUGCAGGUAGGAACCUGACAAGGUUUAACAAGUGUGGAGUCUUGCACCUGGGGAGGAAUAACCAGAUGCAUCAGUACGGAUAAGGGGGUAACCUGCUGGAGAUGAGUUGUGUGGAGAAGGGCCUUGGUGCCCUGGUGGACAACAGGUUGGCCAUAAGUCAGCAAUGUGCCCUUAUGGCCAAGCAGGCCAGCGGUAUUCUGGGGUGCAUUAAAAACAGAGUGACCAUCAGGUUGAGGUAGUCUCUCUCUACUCUGGCCUGGUGAGGCUGUAUUUAGAAAACUGUGUCCAGUUCUGGACUCCUCAGUUCAGAAAAGACAUGGAUCUCCUAGAAGUCCACUUGUGGGCGGUCCUAUUGAGAGUGGCUAUUCAGCCACUAAUGGCUGAGGGAGAUCUGUAUUCAAUUACGUGUGCUCCAUAAACACCUUUUACCCCUUUUAUACCUUUCCAGAAUCUCCCUUCAAGAUGCACCUCUUACAUGCCGCUUGCUUGGGACUGGAAAGGUGAGGGAAAAUACCAGAGGGUUCUUGAGGGUCUUCAGCAGCAGAUUAGCAACAAAUGCCUCCCAGCAGUGCUCCCUUGUAGCUGAGAAAUAGAAGGCCAUGGCUUCUUUGCCCAGAGCAUGCUUGGGUUUAGCUGGGUUCUGUGAAACCUUGCCUGGAGGCAGCCAGGGGAUUGCAUUCCUGUGCAGAUGAAGGCAUUGAUGGAAGGCACAGCCUUCUGGUGUAGCCACCUGGAGGGCUUGGCUACAGGAAACAUGACUGCAGAAAGUCUGCAAACUGGUAGACUGUCUGGGAAGCGGGUAAGGACUGAAGCAGGAAUUCAGCUAUUCCUCUGUUCUCUUUGUUCUGCUACAGCAUAUCUGUUCUCAAGGGACACUCCUCUAAUUUCUCCCUAAAAUUUAGAAUACGUAAUAAACUGAUAGAGACCUAAGAAUGCCAUUGCCUAUUUGUCUUCUUGCUUUCUCCCUCUCUCUCUGCCCUCCUUGAGCUAUAGAUUUUCAUUUGGCUGCUGGCAAUGCAGUAUCUGUCUCUUACCCUCUCUGUGAAGGACUUCUCAUCAUUACCAUCACAGAGAUAGGGGAUCUCAGGUUCAAAAAGAUGAAAUGGGUAGACCUGUGGGUCAUAUGCACGUUACUCAGUCCUCUCCAAAAAACAGUUCUUUCCUUUUCUACUUUUUAAUGAUAUUAGCAACCUCUAAGCACCAAGAGUGUCAUAAACUUUCCAGAUUAUAGUAAUAAUAACAUUGUACAGUACACUGCACUGGGAAUAAAAUUAUUUUACCCACUCCAAUUUUCUUUUGUUUUAAUGUGUGAAUAUAUCAAAUGAAAGCGUAGUAGGAAGUCUCGAUAUAGGGGCCAAAUGUGUUGCAAGCCAGCUCUUUCUGAAGGAAGAGCUUAAUGCUGCAGGUUCAGAGCUUGAAUUUUGCAUUGUAAAGUGUCUGGCUUUGAAUAUUUGGUUGGCUCAGUUUCUCUAGAGUGCUUUGUGUAGUUCUGCUCCUAAAACGUUUAGUAGGACAGGCUGUAUCUGCAAGACUCAUUCCUUGUGGGGCUCCUCUGUGAAUGGCUGAGAUUCUUUCUCCAUGUCCAGCACUUGCCUGAUGUUCUAACCUUUCUUUUCACUCCCAAGGGCCUUCUUGAAACUGUUUCCUUUGAGAAGCAGGUCCUGCGUGUUGCCAGGACAAGAUGGCAAACUGUCAUCCUGAAAUCCUCUAGGAGAUGUGGGAUGAUGUCAAACAACGUAUUCUUUCUGUUCAACAUUCUAUUCAAACACAUUAGAAGUACAAUUAAUCCUCACCAUCUCUCUGUCUAUCUAUGGUAUGGAAUGAGAUGGCUUUCCCAGCCUUUGUGUAUUGUGACAGGCUGAGCUUGGAACCAAGACUUCUGGAGUCCCAUCCUAUGAUUUAACACAAUCCUUUGGGAGCUGGAUUCAUCCUUUGCUCAGCCUCCUUCGCUCCUAUCAGGUUGUAUUUAAGGCUGUUUUCUCAGCCUCCCAUGCCAUUUCCUUGAGCGCUUUUCUCUCCAAGACAGCCCUAGGCUUUUUGGUCUCACUUUUGAGAGAUAUGAGUUCAUAUGAGGUUUAAAACAUGGUAAAAUGAUUGUUGGUCUUGCAGGAGACCUGGUGCUGUGAUUGCAGGAGAGAUGUUACAGCUUGAAUAGUAGUGAUUCAAUUAAGGUGAUGUCUCUUUCCACUAAAUGGAGCUUAAGGUAUUCCUAAUGGUAGCACAAAGCUGAAUGUACACCCCCAUGUUUCUAAGCUUUGUGACAGCCCAGGUGGACCCGGGGGGAUUGGGGAGAGAAGAAUUAAACUGACACAAUGUUUAUCUCCAGCAUUCUCAUUUUGCUAUAGGUUAGUGCUAUAUAUUGCUUUACACUGCAGAGCAAGGAUUAAUUUAUAUAAUAUUUCUAUCAAACUCAGGUAACAAUGAUGAUGACAAAGUGUUUUGGUACUGCAGCAGUUCACAAAAACCCUCUUGUACAAUACAGCUGUACUUACUGUUUUGCUGUGGAAAUUCCCUAUGUAGAAAUGCCUUUAGGCAGGUGAGAUGGAGGUUACAGAAGGCAGGUAAAAGUAUGGCGGUGGGAUGGCCAAAGGGAGAAGCAUGCAAGUUGGAAGGCUUGAGGCUAAAGAGUUUGUGCACCGCGUGGGGCACAGCCGAGCAACUUGAGGCAACAUUUAACUGGGAGCAAGAGCUGCAGAUAAAUAUUCUAAUUCUCCACGGGGUGGCUGGCAAUUAGUUUUCACAGCAAGGUCAUGUUUGCAAAGGGAGAACAGAGCCACCAGCCGGCAAACAUAGCCCAGAGAAUGAGAAGAGAGAUUUCGAUAGCUUUGCUGCUGUAGGGUGUCAGGACCCCACUGAAACAGGGGUAGUAUAGGUCAGGAGGAGUGUGUGCUACAGGAUAGGAAGGGACAGGGUUUUUCUCUUUUAAUCAUAGAGAGGGAGUCUUCAGCAUCACAGAGCACGUCUUGGCAUUGUGAGCAAUGUUCUGCAGUUCAUGUGGGUAGAGGUGUUAUUAUGGCAUGUCUGCGGAGGGCUGGAGCAGCGCGAUAAGAGGCAGUAUUUUGGAUUUGAAGUGUACUGGCAAAGGUUACAUGGGCAUCUGAAUUGCUGCUCUGCCAUUGUUCACUUGACAAGCAAUCAUGCAGUCUUUUACUGAUAAGUCACUGUUUUACUUAAAAAGCGUAUACAUGUGUUCAUAUGUAUAUAUGCACAUAAGUUCCUGCAUUCUCCUUCCUUCUGCGUUGAAAAAGAAUUUUCUGCCAUCCAGGCAGGGGAAGGUCACUCAUCUGCUCAGUUGUAUUAGUGGAGCUUUGACAGCUGGUUUCAGAGAUGGCAGGCAAGUUCCUACAAGUCCUGCAGAUGAAAAAGAUUAAGGGAGUUUAUGCCAUCAUACUGUUCAAAUAAACGUACUGCUUCUCUUAGUCAAUAGCUUCGAUAGCAAUGAGCCCAUGAUGAUUUUGCCAACCAAGUAACAUCAGACUGGAAGGGCAGUGAGAGACUGGCAUGGGUUGCCCAGAGAGGUGGUAGAUACCCCAUCCCUGGAGACACUCAGUGUUGGGCUAGACGAUGCUCUGAGCACUCUGGUGUAGCUGUAGGUUCCCUGUUCUCUGUUGCAGGAGAGUUGGAUCAGCUGACCUUUUAGGGUCCUUUCCAACUCAAACAAUUGUGAUUCUAAAAAGAGAAUAGCUUGCUGCAUGACUGUGCCAUGAUGGAGAGCCCAGCAGCAAGUGCAGCUUUCUGCCCACAGUCCUGUGGCCACUCCUGUGUCAUAGCUGCUCAGGGAUCAGUGCUUUGUAGUGACACCAGUUUGUACAAGCUGACCUCUGCUGCCUAAGCCCAGCCUGCCCUGAGUCUGUGCUGCUGGUGGAUGAAAUCAGCGUAAAUCUGAGCACUUCUAUUUGCCAUCUGGUUGGGUUUAGAGCAUUUUGGUCAUGCCUGGAGCAGAAUAAGAAAUCAUUAAAAAAAAAAAAUAAAAUCCAUGAGUGAAAAUAGUAGUUCAGCUAACCUUGAGGAAAAAGUGGGUGCUCAGUUCAGCUGUGACAGGUGGUACAAAUCAGUGUUUGUUUCAGAAGACUCACUCAGGC
Molecule: long non-coding RNA, 5003 nt
Filed under: Meleagris gallopavo (turkey)
Lineage: Eukaryota; Metazoa; Chordata; Aves; Galliformes; Phasianidae
Description: lncRNA (ENSMGAG00000022583.1)
Source: RNAcentral